RNAcentral lists this long non-coding RNA (261 nucleotides) under Mytilus galloprovincialis (Mediterranean mussel). Lineage: Eukaryota; Metazoa; Mollusca; Bivalvia; Mytilida; Mytilidae. The record is from RNAcentral.
GCGAAAAUAUUUGACAAAGGUAAUUACCGCUAAAAGUUCCCGGUACGUAGUACAAUAUUUUUGUUGGGUAUCACUCAACAUUCGACUAGCAUAGGCAAUAACCUUUUCCUCACCAUCCUGUACCUGUGAAAGGACAGCACCUAUUGCAUGACCACUAGCAUCCGUAUCCAAAAUAAAUUCACCAUCCCCUAUAGGGUAACUUAAAAUGGGAGCAGAAAUAAGUUUCUCUUUCAAAACUUCAAAAGCAUUUUGACAAUCCUG